RNAcentral lists this transfer RNA (73 nucleotides) under Methanosphaera sp. rholeuAM270. It matches the Rfam family "tRNA". Rfam says of the family: Transfer RNA (tRNA) molecules are approximately 80 nucleotides in length. Lineage: Archaea; Methanobacteriati; Methanobacteriota; Methanobacteria; Methanobacteriales; Methanobacteriaceae. The record is from Rfam by way of RNAcentral.
GGCGGAUUGAUUUAUCUGGAAAAACAAGGGAUUUGCAACCCCAUCGUGCUCGGUUCGAGUCCAGGAUCCGCCU